Molecule: ribosomal RNA, 459 nt
Filed under: uncultured bacterium
Lineage: Bacteria
Description: partial 16S ribosomal RNA
Rfam family: Bacterial small subunit ribosomal RNA
Source: RNAcentral
CCUACGGGAGACAGCAGUGAGGAAUAUUGGUCAAUGGUCGGGAGACUGAACCAGCCAAGCCGCGUGAGGGAUGAAGGUACAGAGUAUCGUAAACCUCUUUUGUCAGGGAACAAAGGCGGGGACGUGUCCCCGGAGGAGUGUACCUGAAGAAAAAGCAUCGGCUAACUCCGUGCCAGCAGCCGCGGUACUACGGAGGAUGCGAGCGUUAUCCGGAUUGAUGGGGUGGAAGGGGUGUGCAGGCGGUCUGUUAAGUCAUCGGUCAAAGCCCGGGGCCCAACCCGGGCCCGCCGUUGAAACUGGCAGUCUCGAGUUGGAGAGAAGUAUGCGGAAUGCGCGGUGUAGCGGUGAACUGCAUAGAUAUCGCGCAGAACUCCGAUUGCGAAGGCAGCAUGCCGGCUCCACACUGACGCUGAGGCACGAAAGCGUGGGUAUCGAACAGGAUUAGAUACCCGUGUAGUC